CAGGCCUAACACAUGCAAGUCGGACGCCGCAGUCGCCUUCGGGCGGCAUGUGGAGUGGCGGACGGGUGAGUAACGCGUAGGAACCUGCCCGGAAGUGGGGGACAACCGCUGGAAACGGCGGCUAAUACCGCAUACGCCCCAAGGGGGAAAGGCUUCGGCCGCUUUCGGAGGGUCCUGCGUUCGAUUAGCUAGUCGGUGAGGUGACGGCUCACCGAGGCGACGAUCGAUAGUUGGUCUGAGAGGAUGAUCAGCCACACUGGGACUGAGACACGGCCCAGACUCCUACGGGAGGCAGCAGUGGGGAAUAUUGGACAAUGGGCGAAAGCCUGAUCCAGCAAUGCCGCGUGUGUGACGAAGGCCUUAGGGUUGUAAAGCACUUUCGCCCGCGAGGAUGAUGACGGUAGCGGGAGAAGAAGCCCCGGCUAACUCCGUGCCAGCAGCCGCGGUAAUACGGAGGGGGCGAGCGUUGUUCGGAAUUACUGGGCGUAAAGGGCGUGUAGGCGGCCUUGUCAGUCAGGCGUGAAAUCCCCGGGCUCAACCUGGGACGUGCGCUUGAUACUGCAGGGCUUGAGAGCGAGAGAGGUAAGCGGAAUUCCCAGUGUAGA
RNAcentral lists this ribosomal RNA (605 nucleotides) under uncultured bacterium. Its description in RNAcentral is "bacterial SSU rRNA". It matches the Rfam family "Bacterial small subunit ribosomal RNA", at positions 43 to 679 of the family's 1533-position model. The record is from RNAcentral.